Molecule: ribosomal RNA, 492 nt
Filed under: uncultured bacterium
Lineage: Bacteria
Description: partial 16S ribosomal RNA
Rfam family: Bacterial small subunit ribosomal RNA
Source: RNAcentral
AGUGAACGCUGGCGGUAGGCCUAACACAUGCAAGUCGAACGGCAGCACAGUGAGAGCUUGCUCUUACGGGUGGCGAGUGGCGGACGGGUGAGGAAUACAUCGGAAUCUACUUUUUCGUGGGGGAUAACGUAGGGAAACUUACGCUAAUACCGCAUACGACCUACGGGCGAAAGUAGGGGAUCUUCGGACCUUGCGCGAUUGAAUGAGCCGAUGUCGGAUUAGCUAGUUGGCGGGGUAAAGGCCCACCAAGGCGACGAUCCGUAGCUGGUCUGAGAGGAUGAUCAGCCACACUGGAACUGAGACACGGUCCAGACUCCUACGGGAGGCAGCAGUGGGGAAUAUUGGACAAUGGGCGCAAGCCUGAUCCAGCCAUACCGCGUGGGCGAAGAAGGCCUUCGGGUUGUAAAGCCCUUUUGUUGGGAAAGAAAAGCAGCAGGUUAAUACCCCGCUGUUCUGACGGUACCCAAAGAAUAAGCACCGGCUAACUUCGUG